UCCACUUUAAUCUCCAACUUUCUCUUGCUCUUUAUACACCAAAAACGGUUUUCUCCACAAAUCUAAAACGUUCUCUCUGCAAAAAUCGACGAAUUUAUGUUCUCUAUCCUAUACAUCAAUAAAUCUUAAAUAUUACUUCAAUGGGGAUGAGUUCAAUCGAGAACUGAUGGAAAACAUCAGCAAUUUCCUCUCUCAAUUGUUCAUAACCCAACCCAUCAUUCCUACAAAAGAAAAUCGUUCCUCUCUCCAAAACAGUUAAACCCAUCUCCCUAUUCUUCGAUUCUUCUUCUAAUUAGCCCAAAUCAAUGUACAAGUAGUGGAUCUCAAGCCCACCGGCCGGCGACAAAGGCAUGUAUGAAUAUAAAUUUGCAUAAUUUUUUUUAGAAUUCACCAUCGGCAAUGACAAGCAGGCGAGUCGAUCUACAGCGACGACAUUUGUUGGUGAGAACUUGGAAAAUUUUAAUUUAUUUCUCAUAUUAUGGACAAUUAAUUUUUUUUAAGGUGAUGAUUUCUAUAUCUUUACAGAAGUGGAAAUGCAGGGGAUUGAAGUGGAAGUCUUCUCUAUUUCACGCUCUAUCCAUCGAAAAUAGAGACGCAUAGAGACACAUUUUCCUAGGUAAAUUUGAGUUUUCAGCCCUGAUUUCUAAUUUUUUUUAUUGUAAAUGUAAAUUUCUACGAUUUAAGAUGUGUGAAUCAAUUGUUGAAGAUUGUUCAAUAUUUUGUAUUUUUUUGGAAGCUUCAGUAUUUUGUAGUGUUUUUUUUUUUUUUUAGGAACAGUAUUUUGUAGUUUUAAGUAUUCAUAUCCUCACACUUUUGACGUCGUUGGCGUUGCCGCUCCACCCAAUUUUGUCAAGCACGUUACCGAGUCACAUAACCUCGUCGCCACCACUGUAACAGUCCAGUGCCUAAAAGAGCAGUUUAACCGUCACUAUCGGCCGGAAUAACCACCCUUGCCUUUGUCUCACCGAACAACCCAGCAACCACCAUCACCUUUUCCUUUUUCUUUUUUUCCCUUUAAUUUCUUAGUUAUGCUAAAUAUAGGGCUAUGCAUGUUUGUAUAUUGGUGAAUUUUAGAGGAGUGUAUAUUGGUGAAUUUUAGAGAAGGUUUUAGAUAUAUUCUUCAACAAAUGCUAGAUUAAAUUGUUUCGUGUACAUCGCCAAUAACAUAUAACCACAUAUCUUUGUAGUUUCAUGUCAUGUUAAUCAAAUCAUUCAUUUAGACGUUUAUAGUGGUAUGAUUCUUUUUAGAUAAUCAAUCAUUAUGCCUUUGUAGAUAUUAUUUAUUUCCAAGAUUCAAUUUCUAAAGUUCAAAACCUAUUCUUUUGAAGUUGAUGCUACUAUAUAUGUGAGAAAUUGAUUUGAAGGCGGAUGAGGAGAAGAAUAUGGGGUUACUCUCAAAUUUGGCUUAUGCUUUGACAAUGGACUAUAUUUUUGCAAAGGAGCUCUUAUGGAAAUAAAGGCUGAGCAACCAAGAAAGCCUAGAGCAGAUCUGUUAGUUUCUCAAUGAUAACUGUUUAGUGCUCAACGAUUUCAACUUUAGAGAUGAGUUGCUUCUCCUUUUAUGAAUUAUGUUUGUAGACCACAUAGAACCACUAUUAUACAGGGAGAAAUGUUGUUGUUUUGUAUUGAUUAUUGCUUAGUUGGUGCUUAAUUUAUAGAAAAGGCUAUGCAUUUGUUUUUCUCUUUAAAAUUUUGAAAUAAAACAAUCAAAGAUUUAUAUAUUACAUAUUUCUCGCGUCUUCUCUCUUUCAGCUUGCCUUC
This 1761-nucleotide long non-coding RNA is filed under the name Salvia miltiorrhiza (redroot sage). Its description in RNAcentral is "long non-coding RNA (SMIL_LNC007929)". Lineage: Eukaryota; Viridiplantae; Streptophyta; Magnoliopsida; Lamiales; Lamiaceae. The record is from RNAcentral.